UACGUAGGUGGCAAGCGUUAUCCGGAUUUAUUGGGCGUAAAGGGAACGCAGGCGGUCUUUUAAGGCUGAUGUGAAAGCCUUCGGCUUAACCGGAGUAGUGCAUUGGAAACUGGGAGACUUGAGUGCAGAAGAGGAGAGUGGAACUCCAUGUGUAGCGGUGAAAUGCGUAGAUAUAUGGAAGAACACCAGUGGCGAAAGCGGCUCUCUGGUCUGUAACUGACGCUGAGGUUCGAAAGCGUGGGUAGCAAACAGG
This 253-nucleotide ribosomal RNA is filed under the name uncultured bacterium. Its description in RNAcentral is "partial 16S ribosomal RNA". It matches the Rfam family "Bacterial small subunit ribosomal RNA", at positions 524 to 776 of the family's 1533-position model. The record is from RNAcentral.